CUACGUGCCAGCAGCCGCGGUAAUACGUAGGGUGCGAGCGUUAAUCGGAAUUACUGGGCGUAAAGCGGGCGCAGACGGUUACUUAAGCAGGAUGUGAAAUCCCCGGGCUCAACCUGGGAAUUGCGUUCUGAACUGGGUGGCUAGAGUGUGUCAGAGGGGGGUAGAAUUCCACGUGUAGCAGUGAAAUGCGUAGAGAUGUGGAGGAAUACCGAUGGCGAAGGCAGCCCCCUGGGAUAGCACUGACGUUCAUGCCCGAAAGCGUGGGUAGCAAACAGGAUUAGAUACCCUGGUAGUCCACGCCCUAAACGAUGUCGAUUAGCUGUUGGGCAACUUGAUUGCUUGGUAGCGAAGCUAACGCGUGAAAUCGACCGCCUGGGGAGUACGGUCGCAAGAUUAAAACUCAAAGGAAUUGACGGGGACCCGCACAAGCGGUGGAUGAUGUGGAUUAAUUCGAUGCAACGCGAAGAACCUUACCUGGUCUUGACAU
RNAcentral lists this ribosomal RNA (487 nucleotides) under uncultured bacterium. Its description in RNAcentral is "bacterial SSU rRNA". It matches the Rfam family "Bacterial small subunit ribosomal RNA", at positions 501 to 987 of the family's 1533-position model. The record is from RNAcentral.